This 412-nucleotide unclassified non-coding RNA is filed under the name soil metagenome. RNAcentral describes it as "partial contains 5.8S ribosomal RNA, internal transcribed spacer 2, and large subunit ribosomal RNA". The stretch from base 1 to 119 matches the Rfam family "5.8S ribosomal RNA", at positions 35 to 154 of the family's 154-position model. The record is from RNAcentral.
GAUGAAGAACGCAGCGAAAUGCGAUAAGUAAUGUGAAUUGCAGAAUUCAGUGAAUCAUCGAAUCUUUGAACGCACCUUGCGCUCUUUGGUAUUCCGAGAGCAUGCCUGUUUGAGUGUCAUGAAAAUAUCAACCUUGACUUGGGUUUUGUGCUCUAGUCUCGGCUUGGAAUUGGGUGCUUGCCGCUUUUACGAGCGGCUCACCUUAAAUGUAUUAGCUGGAUCUGUCUUUGAGACUUGGUUUGACUUGGCGUAAUAAGUAUUUCGCUAAGGACAUUCUUCGGAGUGGCCUCGUUUCUAGGACGCUUGUCCGCUUUCCAAUACAAGUUCCACCUCGUGGACAUGACUUUUUAUUAUCUGGCCUCAAAUCAGGUAGGACUACCCGCUGAACUUAAGCAUAUCAAUAAGCGGAGGA